RNAcentral lists this ribosomal RNA (893 nucleotides) under Methanobacteriota archaeon. RNAcentral's name for it is "bacterial LSU rRNA". It matches the Rfam family "Archaeal large subunit ribosomal RNA", at positions 21 to 957 of the family's 2987-position model. Lineage: Archaea; Methanobacteriati; Methanobacteriota. The record is from RNAcentral.
ACUGGGGGAUGGCUCGGCUCGAGAGCUGAUGAAGGNCGUGACAAGCUGCGAUAAUCUACGGGGAGGCGCAUGAAUGCCUUGGAUCCGUAGGUCGCCUAAUAGGACCUCCUGACGCAAGUCGUCAUUCCCAAAUAUACCUGGGAAAGGGAACCCACCGAAUUGAAGCAUCUUAGUAGGUGGAGGAAUAGAAAUCAAAUGAGAUUCCGUGAUUAGUGGCGAACGAAAACGGAACAGAACAAACCGAAUCCCCUUGGGAAACCUUGGGGAGAUGUGGGGUUCGGAUCGUCUAUUGCCUAAAUUCGUGAAAUGGAAGUCGACCUGGAACGGCGCACCAUAGAGGGUGAAAGUCCCGUACAUGUAACGAACAUGGCCAAGUGACGAAUCCAGAGUAGCGUGCGUUGGAUAUCGCGCGUGAAUGUGGGAGGCAUAAACUUCCAAUUCUAAAUACUACUCGAGACCGAUAGUUGACAAGUAGAGUGAUCGAAAGCUGAAAAGUAUCCUUGACGGGAUGUGAAAAGUACCUGAAACCAGUUAGGAACAGGCUGAGUGGGCGUGAAAGCGAUGAUAUGAGCAGCGUUCACUCGUGCGUUUCGAAAAAUGCCCCUGGGAGUCUUGAUCAUUGGCGAGGUUAAGGAGUUGAUCUCCGAAGCCGUAGGGAAACCGACAAGUCCGCAGCCCUUCGGGGUGAGGGACGAGAUGUGCUCGUCUGAAGUCAAUGGUGGAGAACCUGAAGCCCGUCGAUCUAUGCCUGGCCAGAUUGAAGCCCGACGAAAGUUGGGUGGAGGAUCGAACCGUUGCUGAUGUGCAAAUCGCUCGGACGAGCUGGGUAUAGGGGUGAAAGUCCAAUCGAGAUGGGCAAUAGCAGGUUCCGCGCGAGACUACUCGUAGGUAGA